UGCAGUCCAGUCCUAGAGGGACAGCAGC
Molecule: non-coding RNA, 28 nt
Filed under: Rattus norvegicus (Norway rat)
Lineage: Eukaryota; Metazoa; Chordata; Mammalia; Rodentia; Muridae
Source: RNAcentral